UUGUCUCGAGUCUCGACCUCUUCUUCUGGCUUUCAAAUCUCUCCCGCCUCUAAAACCACCCUAAAACUAGCAGUACAGUAUUUUGUGUUUCGUUUACAUAGAGAGCUGUGAAUUCCUAAGUUUUAAUGAUGUGAUUUAGGAAUUCUCUGUCACAUCAUAAAAGUUUAGGUAUUCGACAGCUCUCUAUUUCAACAAACACAACACAAUAUAAAAAGGAAGGAGAAAGAAAGAACUGUUAAACUCGGAACUGAGAUGUGUGCUCUGUUUUUGAGCUAAUGAAUGAAUCAUCACAACUAGGAGGAGCUGGUUCUGGAUGUUCUGAAGUAGCUUUUGAUUUGGGAGUCAAUCUAGUUUGAAGUAGGUUUUGAUCUGAUGAGAAACUGAGAUUGGACGGCUUUACAACAACUGCAGUGGUGCUUAAUUAUGAAGGUGAAACAAAUUAGAAACUUAUGAAGGUGAUUUUUUUUUUUUUUCAGCUUAACAACAAAUAGACCUUCAUAAGUUUCUAAUUUUUUCAAUGGAUCCAACCAUUGGAGAUGCUCUAAUAAUUAGUAGGAAGCAUUUUGGCCAAAAAAAACUGAUGCUCUAUAAAGCCAUUUUGAGUUUUAGUUCUUA
Long non-coding RNA from Camelina sativa (false flax), 615 nucleotides. RefSeq lists it as uncharacterized. The record is from RefSeq and is a predicted model, not a curated record. NCBI's taxonomy places the organism in Eukaryota, Viridiplantae, Streptophyta, Magnoliopsida, Brassicales, Brassicaceae.